AAGGAAGUUCAGAAAUAGAAAACCUGAUGAAGAUGAUAUGUAGUUAGAGAUGCUUAACAACGUGGCAGUCAGAGAGAAAUACCUUCUAACACUACUUUCUUUUUUAAAAUUUUAGACUUUUCUUCCAGUACCUGCUGGGAAAUUUCAGUGCAGUCAUGUUCCCUGUCACCUUAAAAGAACCAUAGAACGGCUGAAAGUUUACUUCAGGGAUGACCAAAAGAGAACAUAUGUUUCUCUGAUGGAGAGAAACACGGACCGCAUCAUAUCAACUUUAAAUAAAGCACGUGCAAAACCCGAGACAGAUGGUCGCUGCCUGAUGUCCGAGAUGCCCCCUCAGAGCGCCCUGACGCGCUACGAGAGGUUCUUUCAGAAGCUGCAUGAGAAGUGCUAGAGAAGGUGCUGCUGGGUGCUGGCAGCCCACGGGGACGUCUCUCACCCAACACUAGAGCCCGUUCUGACGGAACAAAGCAAAGCUGCCGCGGAGCGUCCCGGGGAGGCAGCACCACGUUACCGUGAAUGUUUUAUAUGUGUAUUGUCAGAUAUUUAUGUCUUAUCGUAGUUAAUAACAUAUUUAUUUAAUUUAUAGAGAGCUUUUAUAUUUGUAGAGAGUCCUAAAGUUCAAAGCAAUCACGAAUAAAAGAACUUCAAGUUAUUAAAUCUGCUGUGGG
This 668-nucleotide long non-coding RNA is filed under the name Athene cunicularia (burrowing owl). RNAcentral's name for it is "lncRNA (ENSACUG00000009731.1)". Lineage: Eukaryota; Metazoa; Chordata; Aves; Strigiformes; Strigidae. The record is from RNAcentral.